GACGAACGCUGGCGGCGUGCUUAACACAUGCAAGUCGAACGGAAAGGCCCUGCUUUUGUGGGGUGCUCGAGUGGCGAACGGGUGAGUAACACGUGAGUAACCUGCCCUUGACUUUGGGAUAACAUCAGGAAACUGGGGCUAAUACCGGAUAGGAGCUCCUGCUGCAUGGUGGGGGUUGGAAAGUUUCGGCGGUGGGGGCUGGACUCGCGGCUUAUCAGCUUGUUGGUGGGGUAGUGGCUUACCAAGGCUUUGACGGGUAGCCGGCCUUGGAGGGUGACCGGCCACAUUGGGACUGAGAUACGGCCCAGACUCCUACGGGAGGCAGCAGUGGGGAAUAUUGCACAAUGGGCGGAAGCCUGAUGCAGCAACGCCGCGUGCGGGAUGACGGCCUUCGGGUUGUAAACCGCUUUCGCCUGUGACGAAGCGUGAGUGACGGUAAUGGGUAAAGAAGCACCGGCUAACUACGUG
This 468-nucleotide ribosomal RNA is filed under the name uncultured bacterium. RNAcentral's name for it is "partial 16S ribosomal RNA". It matches the Rfam family "Bacterial small subunit ribosomal RNA", at positions 28 to 507 of the family's 1533-position model. The record is from RNAcentral.